GAUGAACGCUGGCGGCGUGCCUAAUACAUGCAAGUCGAGCGAACAGACGAGGAGCUUGCUCCUCUGACGUUAGCGGCGGACGGGUGAGUAACACGUGGAUAACCUACCUAUAAGACUGGGAUAACUUCGGGAAACCGGAGCUAAUACCGGAUAAUAUAUUGAACCGCAUGGUUCAAUAGUGAAAGACGGUUUUGCUGUCACUUAUAGAUGGAUCCGCGCCGCAUUAGCUAGUUGGUAAGGUAACGGCUUACCAAGGCAACGAUGCGUAGCCGACCUGAGAGGGUGAUCGGCGGCACUGGAGCUGAGACGCGGUCCAGGCUCCUACGGGAGGCAGCAGUAGGGAAUCUUCCGCAAUGGGCGGAAGCCUGGCGGAGCAACGCCGCGUGAGUGAUGAAGGUCUUCGGAUCGUAAAACUCUGUUAUUAGGGAAAAACAAAUGUGUAAGUAACUAUACACGUCUUGACGGUACCUAAUCAGAAAGCCACGGCUAACUACGUG
RNAcentral lists this ribosomal RNA (497 nucleotides) under uncultured bacterium. RNAcentral's name for it is "partial 16S ribosomal RNA". It matches the Rfam family "Bacterial small subunit ribosomal RNA", at positions 28 to 507 of the family's 1533-position model. The record is from RNAcentral.